Molecule: ribosomal RNA, 305 nt
Filed under: uncultured bacterium
Lineage: Bacteria
Description: bacterial SSU rRNA
Rfam family: Bacterial small subunit ribosomal RNA
Source: RNAcentral
UUUUCCUCGGGGCGCAGCAGUGAGGAAUAUUGGUCAAUGGGCGAGAGCCUGAACCAGCCAAGUCGCGUGAGGGAAGACGGUCCUAUGGAUUGUAAACCUCUUUUGCCGGGGAGCAAAAAGCGGUACGUGUACCGCAUCGAGAGUACCCGGAGAAAAAGCAUCGGCUAACUCCGUGCCAGCAGCCGCGGUAAUACGGAGGAUGCGAGCGUUAUCCGGAUUUAUUGGGUUUAAAGGGUGCGCAGGCGGCGAGUUCAGUCAGCGGUAAAAUUUCGGGGCUCACCCCCGACAAGCCGUUGAAACAGGCU